This 76-nucleotide transfer RNA is filed under the name Planctomycetota bacterium. Its description in RNAcentral is "tRNA-Asn". It matches the Rfam family "tRNA". From Rfam's summary of the family: Transfer RNA (tRNA) molecules are approximately 80 nucleotides in length. Their secondary structure includes four short double-helical elements and three loops (D, anti-codon, and T loops). The record is from RNAcentral. Lineage: Bacteria; Pseudomonadati; Planctomycetota.
UGGCCUCUAGCUCAAUGGGUAGAGCGUCCGCCUGUUAAGCGGAAGAGUCCAGGUUCGAGCCCUGGGGGGCCAGCCA